GGCGGACGGGUGAGUAAUGUCUGGGAAACUGCCUGAUGGAGGGGGAUAACUACUGGAAACGGUAGCUAAUACCGCAUAACGUCUCCGGACCAAAGUGGGGGACCUUCGGGCCUCACACCAUGGGAUGUGCCCAGAUGGGAUUAGCUUGUAGGUGGGGUAAUGGCUCACCUAGGCGACGAUCCCUAGCUGGUCUGAGAGGAUGACCAGCCACACUGGAACUGAGACACGGUCCAG
This 234-nucleotide ribosomal RNA is filed under the name uncultured Enterobacterales bacterium. RNAcentral's name for it is "partial 16S ribosomal RNA". It matches the Rfam family "Bacterial small subunit ribosomal RNA", at positions 97 to 334 of the family's 1533-position model. The record is from RNAcentral. Lineage: Bacteria; Pseudomonadati; Pseudomonadota; Gammaproteobacteria; Enterobacterales.